UGUCUGCCAUAAUAGGAGCCAGGGCCUGGCUUUGCUAUUGUGUCUGUUGCUGUAUGUUGUUUAUCUCAGCAGCGGGCUGAAUUUGGAUCUAGAGCACACAGCUGAUGGAUAGUGAGUGAAUGAGUGUGUCUCUUUGAAUACUCAGUCAGGAGUGAUUUACAGCAUUGGAUUUAUUUCUAGCUCUUCAGCAUCUGUGGUAGCAACAAGAGGCCCCAAAAUAACAGGACCAGAAAAAGACCCAGAGAGGGGGCCAGGAAGUGAGUUCAGAGUUUCUCAAGAGUCCGUCUGCAGCUGCUGCCUCACUCCAUCCCUCCACCAAGAUCUUCACAUAAGACUACUUCAAAGCACAAUGGAAGGCACCAGAACUUCUCUUUGGCUGUUUCUACUGCUCAGCCAGCUGCCAUUCUGUCCUACUGAAGCAGACCAAGACCUUUCGACCAUGCAGCCGUAUUCGCAAAAAACAGAAGAAAAUCAAGGUGGCAGCUCAACCCCUGCUGUGGAGCCCAACCUCAUUACCAUUGGUCACACAAACCCACCUGACACAGUCACAAAUGGCACUCGUGCCGACUGCUUGAUCGACACUGAGAUGGGUCUGAUCGCUAUAGGUUCAGCAGGGGGGCUGAUUGUCUGCCUCCUAGUUGCCAC
Molecule: long non-coding RNA, 645 nt
Organism: Cottoperca gobio
Lineage: Eukaryota; Metazoa; Chordata; Actinopteri; Perciformes; Bovichtidae
Exons: 3
Source: RefSeq, a predicted model, not a curated record